GAUGAACACUGGCGGCGUGCCUAAUACAUGCAAGUCGAGCGAACAGAUAAGGAGCUUGCUCCUUUGACGUUAGCGGCGGACGGGUGAGUAACACGUGGGUAACCUACCUAUAAGACUGGGAUAACUUCGGGAAACCGGAGCUAAUACCGGAUAACAUUUGGAACCGCAUGGUUCUAAAGUGAAAGAUGGUUUUGCUAUCACUUAUAGAUGGACCCGCGCCGUAUUAGCUAGUUGGUAAGGUAACGGCUUACCAAGGCGACGAUACGUAGCCGACCUGAGAGGGUGAUCGGCCACACUGGAACUGAGACACGGUCCAGACUCCUACGGGAGGCAGCAGUAGGGAAUCUUCCGCAAUGGGCGAAAGCCUGACGGAGCAACGCCGCGUGAGUGAUGAAGGGUUUCGGCUCGUAAAACUCUGUUAUUAGGGAAGAACAAAUGUGUAAGUAACUGUGCACGUCCUGACGGCACCUAAUCAGAAAGCCACGGCUAACUACGUG
This 497-nucleotide ribosomal RNA is filed under the name uncultured bacterium. RNAcentral's name for it is "partial 16S ribosomal RNA". It matches the Rfam family "Bacterial small subunit ribosomal RNA", at positions 28 to 507 of the family's 1533-position model. The record is from RNAcentral.